AGUCGAGCGCGAAAGCACUUCGGUGUGAGUAGAGCGGCGGACGGGUGAGUAACGCGUAAGAAUCUACCUAGUAGUGGGGGACAACUCGGGGAAACUCGAGCUAAUACCGCAUACGCCCUACGGGGGAAAGCGGGGGACCUUCGGGCCUCGUGCUAUUAGAUGAGCUUGCGUUGGAUUAGCUUGUUGGUGGGGUAAUGGCCCACCAAGGCGACGAUCCAUAGCUGGUCUGAGAGGAUGAUCAGCCACACCGGGACUGAGACACGGCCCGGACUCCUACGGGAGGCAGCAGUGGGGAAUAUUGCGCAAUGGGCGAAAGCCUGACGCAGCCAUGCCGCGUGUGUGAAGAAGGCCUUAGGGUUGUAAAGCACUUUCAAUUGGGAGGAAAAGCUAACGACUAAUACUCGUUAGCCCUGACGUUACCUUUAGAAGAAGCACCGGCUAACUCCGUGCCAGCAGCCGCGGUAAUACGGAGGGUGCAAGCGUUAAUCGGAAUUACUGGGCGUAAAGCGCGCGUAGGCGGCUUUUUAAGUCGGAUGUGAAAGCCCCGGGCUCAACCUGGGAACUGCACCCGAUACUGGAAGGCUAUAGUGCGAGAGAGGGAGGUAGAAUUCCAUGUGUAGCGGUGAAAUGCGU
RNAcentral lists this ribosomal RNA (633 nucleotides) under Gammaproteobacteria bacterium LSUCC0262. Its description in RNAcentral is "bacterial SSU rRNA". It matches the Rfam family "Bacterial small subunit ribosomal RNA", at positions 60 to 691 of the family's 1533-position model. Lineage: Bacteria; Pseudomonadati; Pseudomonadota; Gammaproteobacteria. The record is from RNAcentral.